GGACUACUGGGGUAUCUAAUCCUGUUUGCUCCCCACGCUUUCGCGUUUUAGCGUCAGCAACGAGCCAGAGGGCCGCCUUCGCCACCGGUGUUCCUCCUGAUAUCUACGCAUUUCACCGCUACACCAGGAAUUCCACCCUCCUCUCUCGCGCUCCAGCUGGCUAGUUUCCAAUGCCCUUCCGAGGUUGAGCCUCGGACUUUCACAUCAGACUUGACCAACCGCCUACACGCCCUUUACGCCCAGUCAAUCCGAACAACGCUUGCACCCUCCGUCUUACCGCGGCUGCUGGCAC
Molecule: ribosomal RNA, 292 nt
Filed under: uncultured bacterium
Lineage: Bacteria
Description: partial 16S ribosomal RNA
Source: RNAcentral